Molecule: long non-coding RNA, 13182 nt
Filed under: Gallus gallus (chicken)
Lineage: Eukaryota; Metazoa; Chordata; Aves; Galliformes; Phasianidae
Source: RNAcentral
GUUACAUGCUAUGUAAUUGCUGAAUCUUUCUGUAAAUAACAAUAACCACUAAUUUUAAAUUAUUAUUUUAUUUGCCAUUAAUACUUAAGGAGUUCUGUUGGUUGCGCUAGGGUGAGCUUUCUUUGAUUGCUUGCACUUCCACUUGUACAAUCACAGCGUCAUCAUCAGUGCAGACCUUCCUGCUACGAUUGAUAACAAAAAUCUGUGCAGUGGGAAUGUUUUAUAGUUCGAAACGUUAGCAUUAACUGCCAUACUUUUGGUAUCAGAGAUCUAAGAAGCGUACUUCCUACUUCUUCCUGAGCUGAGUCGCGCUUGUAUUUCAUUGGGCAGAUGUUUGGCUACAUUCUUGCAUUGGUUCUUAAACAGUAGUAGUGAGAAACAGGAGAGGGAGCUCUCACCCUGGCUAUGAGGGAGGGAAAGCCGAGUGAGGCAUCACUUCCCCAGGUCUGGAUGGGCAGGGGAGCUCCCCCCUCCCUAACAGCAGAGGGAAAAGGCAUUUUUUUUUGACUUGCCAUUCUGUGCCUUAGCCAUACUCAUCCGUUCCGCUGAAACAAGCAACUGACUUAGAAAAGAAAAGGAAAAUAAAUAAGUUGGGAUAGGUAAAAGAUGUAGAAAGCUUUAGGUAAUUAACCAUGUAUGUCACAUAGGAGCUCAGUGAACUGGUGGGUCUACUCUCCACCCAAUGUAAAAAUGGCCCUGUAGACUAGGAUAGCCACCUACGCCAGUUGAGUUAUACAGCUGGAAAUCCGUUGUAAACAAUCAUGUAAUAAAUCUAGUGGAAGUUUCUCUAAAAAAAAAAAUAGACCAUUUUGGACAAAAUACUAAAGUAACAAUGUUCUACAUCCAGUCUUAUGAAUGUAACGUAUACCAAAGUUUUCGCCCAAGGGAUAGGUGUAGUAAUGGUCAUGCAUCUGUAUUUGUAGUGGCAAAGAAUUUGGAAACAUCAUUGUGCUUCAGAAAUGCAGAAGCUUUUUUUUGUUUCCAUUUUACUCUGUGGCUCACUUUUAUAUCUGAAAAUUGUGCAAAAGGUAGCUGUCAAGUAAGCCAAGAUGAGGGCGUAAAUGAAAGCUGCUGCUUCAGAAAAUAAGAAAGUCAAUAUUAAAUGUUUUAGAGUGACUGCUAAUGAUCUGCUUGGUCUUUACAGAAAGGUCCCUAAGGAUCCACUUGUAGAGAUUCAAAAAUACAACACUACUUGUAACAAGAGCUGUUAAGAAUGAGCAAUUACAACAAAGUGAACGUUGCACAGAAGACUACUUGCUUAUGGCACUUAUUAAAAUGCCAUGAUCAAUAAGAGAUGGAACUAACAUGCAAUAUAAAUUUCUAAUCUAUGUAUACCUGCCUUGGAUUAAAACUUAAUCGCUCUUCAAAAGGAAGGAUCCAAAUUAAAUCCUUGUAUCAACUCUCUCAAUUCCUUAACUAAUGCAUCGGAAUGGUGAUGUCUGAAAUCCAGGUUGAGAGGUUCUUCCACGCAAGAUGCUGUUGGAGGGAUCGGGAGCUGAUAGUUACUGAGAGCGAUCCAAUGACAUCACAUAUCUGUCUUACAAAGGAAUACAUCAACAAUAGCCUGAAGCUUUCAUCAGAAUUUCUCCUACAUUUCUACCUGUUAUGUUACCUACACAUUUCACUUAUUCAUUCUCAAAGCUCUGUUCCUCUCCAGAAGGAGCAGGAGGAAAGGAUUCCAAAUGUCACUGGCAAGGGUAACAUUUGUCUGGGUGGAUUUCAAAAUGAAAUUUUUAUUGGCACCACAACUCUGCAUUUCAUAGUUCUCAGGACAUGUUACGUAUGUUACUCAGUGCGGCUUACAAGUACACAAACUGCCUUCUGCAUCACAUCUGUGAAGAAAUAGAUGGCGAAAUUUCACACUAAUUUUCAAUAGACAAUGAGAAGAAGCUUGCUUAUAUUACUCCAGCCUCAGGAGAAGUCAUCAUGACUUUUGUCAUGCAACAUUACACCUGUGUCCAAUGUAAACUUGUCCAUUUUGUUGAAGCUACAGCUGAAGUUCUGACUUCAAAUUUUGAGGCAGUGACCUCCUCCCAGGACUCCACUGUGCACAACUGUCAUACAGCUCAACACUGUUGUCCCUGGAUUACCUCGCUGCUUUGAUCUGUCACUGAAGUUGCUGUUUGUUGGCUAAUUCUCUGGCGGGUGGUUCAGAUACAAGGCCCCGAAACCUCAAGAAGGCAAGAGGUCAAAGGAUGCAACAGAGGUGAAGGAAAAGAGUCGUGGCAAAUAAACCUUACUAUGACCUCCAGAAGUCAACAAGCUCUGUUUUGAUGUUAGAAGGGAGAUGAAAAUAGAAUAUAUAUAUAAAAGAAGAAACAAAUCCAAAGAUUACUGAAAUUCAACAGUGCUUCAGAUGAUCACUCUUCAGUGAAGAAAAGGACUUUUCACUCUCGACAUAGGGCAAUGCCUUUGAAAUCGAUGAGCUUAAAUGAAGCAUAGACUGGGGACAUCUACCGUUCUCAUCACAGCUGCUGCCACAUCAUGGAGAGUAUUGCUAACACAAUGGAAGAGGAAUUAAGCUGCCCAUCUGUGCAAAGUAGGCUGUUUUGUCUGCUCACGGUUGAUUAGUGGGAGCAAAUGGACUUUUGCUAAUGUUGGGGGCACAGUUCUGGAAGAUGGAAGACCCACAUUCGAGUCCCUCCUCUUGCUGAUUAAGACCAUCACACCUUGGACGACCCGCCUUUACCGAAGAUCAGCAGCCCCGACACCAAGACAUCGCUGGAUGAGAGGUAGCCAUGGAAGGAAAUGGCUGCCCCAGUUAGAAGCUGAGAAUGAAAUGACUCCUUUUCGGCUGCAGCAUUAGAGGGGCCUUCAGUAGACCAUGUGCUACAUGAGCACUCAUCUCAGCCUUGGGAACACUCCUGGGAUGCACUUUUUUUUCUCUAUCCAACCUCCAGGUGUUUGAGCUAGUUAGGAACCAAAACACAUGCUUCCUACAGUGAGAAAAAUCAGAGUCUAUAUGAAAGCAAUGAACACUACCUCUGCAAGUAAAAUAAACAAGAACAGAGUAACAUUUGGAAGACUGGCCAUCUUGGCCCAUGCAGCUCUUGUCCAGAUAGCAGCCACCCUUCCCUCCUGUUCCUGACUAUACUAGAACAACUUGGAAUCACCAAAUUUAAGCACGGCAGAGCUUUGUUUUACAAUUACAGGUAAAAUAUUCUACCAGGGAGGACAAAUAGGGCAGGAGUUUAGAUAAAGAGGUAUCCCUGCUUAAGCAAGGAGUAGACUUUAUUAUUCAUGAUUUCAUUUUAUGCACUCAUGACCUUCAAGUGAUUUGCACACAAAUUCUUACUGUUCUACGUCUCUGUCUGGCUCAAGCAUAACGUUUAUUUUCCCCAGGUAGAUCAGAAUUAUUUUUUAGGUAGUAGACUGCACAAGUAACCAAAUACAAAAGAAAAAGCCAAUGUUUAAUUAAGUGUAUUUUGUGUAGGAUAGUUUAAAACCUUAAUUCACCUCUUAAGUCAACCUUAAAAUACCAGCUUAGAGGUUUGCUACAUAUAUUUGGAAUGAAAGGCAAUCUAUUCUAGCUUGAGUGCUAUAAAAUCCGGUGCCUAAAGGAAUAUUUAACAUAAGUACAUAUGUUUUGAUUGUAUAGCACUCAUCAGGAUCACAAGGAUCUGAAUUCCAAUCAGUUAAAGCACAAUUAGUACAGAAACAAUGGUAAGUGAAAAUGCCAGUUUAAGCAUUACAAAAGUUACUAGUGAAGUGUUCACACGUCUGAAAGCCUCCUUAGAAAUAUGCUUUGGCAAUCAAUGGACUCAAAUGUAAAGGUGUGAGAUUCCAUGGCUCAUACUGCACAGAAAUUAUAGAGGUGGAUUAUGAUACUUUUUGACUUUAACUUGCAUGGAUGUAUGCUAUUAUGAUUAUUGUACUGAUAAACGUAUUAAAGAAAUGAGAGAGUAAGUUAUUUGGUUAGACUCGAGAACCCUGGAGAAGACUAUUCUUUUAACAAACGAUGUUCACAUAGUUAGAUUUUUCUGGUGGUUGGAGCCUUGUAUGGCUCCCGAAAUGCAAGAAGAAAAUGGAACCCUUUGAUCCUGAAUCUUUCAUGAAAAUAUACCUUUAAUUAAGGAUCUUUCACUUGAAAAAUACCUUUUCUUUACUCAUUUCUGCUGCUGUAUAAAUCUGCUUUUUAUUGUGAGUCAUACAUCUGGCAGAAGAAAGGCAGUGUAUUGGGGAUGUGUCCAUAUGUGAAAAAUGUUGAUGAAUAGAGCAAUUAAUGAACAAGCGGCUUACCAUUGUUCAGUCCUUUUUAUGACAAUUACACACCACUUGAAGUGCUUUAUUUUUCUUUAUUUGUGAAUCAUUUUGCAUGCCUGGAUGCCCAGGGAGGACGCGUGUGUUUCUCGGACGCACAGAGCUCUGCACUGAGAACUGUGGGUGCCAUUUUAUCUCAUGGUCACGUGUGGGAAUGCACUUCUCUCAUUGACAUUCCUUUGGUUCAGCUGGGAACUGGAAUCAAAACAGACAGUGAAAAUGUAGUAUCUGUGGUUCAGCUCCUGAAUAAAAUAGCUAGGAAACUUUUUGCUUCUGUAAGAAUCAAGCAAGGACUUUAGUUUUUACAAACCAGAGCGGUUGUACAGUCCUGUUGAGGUAAAAACAAAUGAUGUGGCAAUGGUAAGAAAUAAAAUACAGAGAAAAAAAGGAGAAAGUUUUCAUAGUUCUGAGUAAAAAGUGAUUUGAUGUAACCUUCACAUUAUUUCCUUUCAACACUUGGAGGCAAAUCUAUAAAGCUUCUUCUCUGGUAUUAGCAGGAUUAUAUGAAAUAUAUAUAUAUUUUUCAGACUGUUAUUCUUUUAUUAAACAAUACAUUCUGUUCUCUUUCAAUUCUAUCCUGUGUAGGAUCUACAGAGACUGGGCUGAUCAGUAUGGUCUUUUUAUGCUUUUGAUAGCUGCCACUCCCAGUAAUGGAGGAAAUGUGGAUGCAAUCUGUUCUGCUGAAAGGCAGAUGAAAGUUAUUGAUCUCAGAUAAGUGCCAAAAAUUGGCAGACUCUCGUGCACUGGCAGAAGUGAUGCCCACAGGCGACACAAUUGUUUCUAUCUGAUUUAUGUGAAAAUUUAUGCUGGAUAUUCAUCUGCCUGGGGUGAAAAGACUUGCAGCACUUUUACGCAUCCUCCUCUCAGAUAACUCACUUAGUUGCUAAAGUAGCUGUCCCAGUAAAUUUUAGCUGUCACCAUGCUGGUAUGCUUUUUUUUUGUAGACAGCACAAACAAUAACCUCCUACAUAUUAAUGGUCAUAGCACAUAUACUGAAAUCACCUUUUGAUAGUUGUAGUUAAACUUUAUUUCCUUCAUUUUAUAAUUAUCUGUGCAGAUUCAUUAACUGAACAAAAGAAGUCAGGGUUUAAAACCACUCCUAUUUUAUGAUGUUGGCCCAUGACAACAUCAGAAGGGAACGGUGGCAGUAUGACAGUAGAAAGUUGAACCUUCCACAUAAUACAGUUACAUUUUAUUUCCAUGUGAAAAAUGGCAGCAGAAGGGCAGUAUCUAUUAAUAUUAAACAUAUUUUCAUAUGCUUGUGAAGGCUCAGAAAAUUGUAUGGUCAUUUAGAAAGAUUUAAGCUCGUUUUCCACCCUUCACAGAACGUUUUGGCUUGGUUUUUACAUGCUGUUCAUCUCAUGUCUUGCAUUCUCUUCUUUCCUUUCCAAGCAUGAGGUUUUUACAAAUGUCACAUUUACCUCUAGCCUAUGAAGAGUUAAGAAACCUCUUUUUUUACUGGAAGAAAACUUCAAAGAAAACAAGUUUUUGUUUUUAUUUCUUUUCUGAUUGAGAUACUAUUUGGAGGCCAAGUACAAAUUUAAUUAUGCAGUUUUACUACUAAAAAACAAUUAGGGCAGAUUCAUGAAGCAAUUACAUCAAUUGCCCUGUGGCUCCUUUUAGAUUUACUAAAUGCUUUCAUUUUUUAUCUGCUGCUUGAGCUGUAAUGAAGCAGAUGGAUUUCACUUGCUCUGAACCAGUGGUUAAUUUUCAGAUUUUUUUUCUCUCUUAGUUUUACUAAACUAAGCAAUGUGGUCUAUAAGUAGUUGUGUAUACUGCUACUAUAUCUUUCAAAGGAAAUGGAUGUUUGGUCAUUGCAACUUGCAAUUACAAGUUUCCAGGCUGUAUACAGGCAGAUUCAGUUUAAGUAACAUCCAUUUAUAAUCUUUAGUAUUUAAUACUAAUCUUCUAUUUGUAGUUAUUUUCUGCAUAUUGGUUUGAUUCAAUCAAAUUAUUUGCUCAGAUUAAGAUGGUUGGCAAAAUCAGUAAAAUAGUAAAAGUAGGCUUAGGUCUAUUUGACAUUCCUCCAUGAAAAAAUUGUGUAAGAGCAGUUGUGUGUUUUUCUUGUCAUCCAUUUGACUAAUGAGUUCUUUUGAAUGGAAUAUAAUCUUAAUGACAGCAAAGAAGAAGCCAAAUGAUAAACAGUGCUGUUUGUAUCCCACUGUCCUUGGCCAUAGAAAUAGUAAUACAUGCUGGUGUCCUUCCUAGAUAUGUAGCACACGAGACUGUUUUCUUCCUUUCAUUCAGUUUAAUGGUUUACAAUAAACAAUGGUUUAGAUGGAUCUUGGUAAUGUUAGCAUGGAAUUAUUUUGUGUUGAGCAUCAAGGAAGAAUGCAGUUAGCAUCAAUGCAUGCAUGGGAUACACCUACUACACACAGAGUUUAAGGAUUAUUACUGAUGGAGUAUUUUCUUUUCAAGGUUGUUCUUGCUCUGAUAAAAUUACAAAAAUUUGAUUCAAAUAUGUUUUUUUCCUUUUUUUUUUUUCUGGAGUUGCUAUUAAGUAAAAGAAUUGUAGGAUGUCAUUUACUAAGCACUGGAUUCUCCUUGCCCGUUUUUUGUUUGUAGACAAACGUAAAUGAAAGUCAAUAAAGGGACUAACAUUUUCCUGUCAGCUUGUUACAAAAUGAUGUGCAAUUUCCAUUUCCCACUCCGCUAUUUGAUGAUCAAGCUUUGCUUGUUUGAGUUUUGUCUUUAUGAUUAUAAAUUAUCCAGUCAUAGCCAGUCAUCUGUAUGAGAAAAUUAUCUUCCAUCAAGUAUGAUUUUAUUGCGUGCAUUUUAAUACUGUGACAACCUAUUAUUAUUAUAUGUAUGAUUAAAGAGAUACGGUUACCUCAAUUUUAGCCUAGAAUUUACCCAAGAAACUAACAAACAAAAAAAAAGUAUAUAUAUAUAAAUACCUGAGUAAAAAGCUCAAGCUUUUUGAAAAUUACCAACUAAUUGUUCUCAUGAGCUGAAAGGCAAAAUAUAAAUGAAUUUAAAAUAAAAAAUUUUUACUGUACAAAUGCACAUUCAUUGCAUUAGUAUGAACGUGAACAUAAGCCAAAAUUUCUGAUGCAAAUAGCAAAACUGAAAGUGGUUUUUAUGUGGAGAGAAACACAAUGAAUAAAUUCUUUAUUCAAGCACUAAAAUAACAAUUUCAGUUACAGAAAAACUGGUUUUCUGAGGAGAUUUUCCUUGAACUAAAGAGUGUUCUCACAUUUCUCUCUGAGGUUAGUAUUGGGCACAAGAGGUGAUUUCAAUGUGGAUGGCACAGGUAGAAGUUUUAGCCUGUAUGGUAGUAGAGAAAUGGCUUACCCUCUAUGAAAAUGACACAGGUAUGAUUCAGCCAGCUAAUAAUUCUCUGCCGUGAGAGAAUAAAUGAGAAGGCUUCUGAAGAACAGUAAAACCAUGAGGGACAGCAUCUAAACUAAUUCAGAUGUUGCUAUCACUGUUCUAAUGUAUUUAAGUCGAUAGUACUUCUAUGCAUGUGUCAUGUAGGGACAUGGGACUGGUUAAAUGCAGUGGGCCUUUACACUUGUUGCUUGUAAAGGUGUACCAAAGUGUUUUCCUCAAUCAAGCCUUAAUCCCUUCAAUCCUGUUCCAUUGGGUGUCCAGAUGAAAGUGGAAAUAUCAGUGUAAAAAGCUUGAAAAAUAUUUGCUUUGUAGCUCAGAAUAUUUUUUUUAACCUUUAAAAAAACUCUCCUGAAGAGCUAAUAAAGCUUACUAGCUGGGGACAGAAGUCAUUUUAUUGCUUUUUCUCCUUGGUUGUUUAUUUUUGUCUUGCAGGAAGGGAGGAUACUUUAAUCUUAUUGCUGUAGUACUUGCCUAGAUAGAUACUUUUCCCCUCCACCCUUCCCUCUCUUGCAAAAAAAAAAGUCUUUAAUCCAUUCACAGGUCCUACUAUGUGUGAAAAGGACUUCCUGUCAGGUUAGUCAGACUCUUUCAGCAUCAGUUCUUUAAAAGAAGUAUGGUAGAGACAAGGCUAGUCCUUAACUCAUUGCUAUUUUCUUCCUUUUAUGUGUUCGUGAGCUUCUUUUGGCUAUUUUUUAAAAUGAUCAGUAUGCUAAUGUAUAGGAGAUAAAUGCUAGUGGCCUUUUCUUCUCAGGUUAAGGUAUUUCAUUUUAUGUUGUCCAUAAGAAAUGGAAUGACCAGCAUAUGCCAGUAAAAAUGCUUUCUGCUUAAUGUGAAGGGACUGAAAGAAAUGGGAUAGUAUAGGCUGUGUCUUUAGAUGGGUUAAUUUUGCAAUAAUUGAACAUGAACUUACACAGAAACAAACAUUUUGUGGGCAAUCUACUUGCUUAUAAAGAGCAACUAUAUACGCAUUCUCUUACUGAAUCAGGUAAAAACAGAGUUUUCACUCUCUAUGCAUUGUGAUGAAGUGAAUGAAGUGUUAUGGACAAAGAAUAAAAAUGAAAUAAUAUAUGGCAAAACAGCUGACAUAAAAGGGAGAUGAAAUAUUCUAUGUCUGAUGUUAUAGUCUUCUCUGAUUUUAUUCCUACUGUGCGAAUGCAUCAGGAAGGUGCAUACUAAUAAUACAAUGAAUAUAAAUUCAUGUGCUAGCUGUGUGUGAUCCUGUGAGUGGUCUUUUAAAGGCACUGCAAAUGCCUUGUUCCAAGUUUCCCAUCCCAAUGAGCAAUAUGUAUGGUGAGGAAAACCUAGCUUAAUUGUUUAUAUUUAUAUAUAUAUAUAUUUAUAUAUAUAUUUAUAUUUUCUGGUUUCUUUAACUAAUUAGCUUUACAAAUCACAUCAAAAUCAGGUUAAUCUUUGCCUAAGGUAGCACAGGUACUUAUUCAUCAAAGUAGAAACAGGAUACCAUUCAUUCUUUCAUUCAUUCACAUUUUAUGUACUUGGAUAUUUUUUACACUCAGAUUAAUUAAGAUUUUUGGAGAUGACAGAAGUAUCUUGUCCUGUAUUAUCUCUAUUAAAACAAUAAUAAUAACAAUAAUAAAUAAAACUACAUGAGAAAAGACUCUAACAACAAGAGAAAGAAAAAGGAAUGGAAGAUAAUAGAAAGGGAAGGAAAGGGAAUAUCAAAUCCUGACAGAUAACAAUUUACUCAUGGAUCAGCCAUUACACUGCUACCCUAAAGAUACUGGAGCAGCCGUGAAGAUGCUGAUAUGUAUUGAACCUGGAAAGUUUAUCGCUUGAUUCUUGACUAAUCUCAAAAUGGAAAAAAAAAAAAAAGUGAGCAAAAGAAAAGACAGAAUAUUUUAUUAAUUAUUUGAUUUGAACAAUCAUUCCUAUAUAUUUUGUGUAAUCUCCCUACUUCUGACUUCACUGAUGAGGUAGUAAUAUUUCAGUGGUAUUGUCUCCUUAUUUAUUGAAGUAUUCCAAACUAGUAUGUGGAUACAUGAAUGCUCAAGGUUUUGUAGCAUUUCAGAUUUUCAUUAACACUUUAACUGUCCAAUGAACUGAUUUUUAAAAUAUUCUAUCUUCGUUAUAUGUCCCACUUCUAAUUACUUUUCAGCUCAAAAAUAUGCCACUGUGAUCCAUUUUUGGAUUCAUCUACUCCCAUCAGAGGUCACUCCUUCGAACUUGCUGUCAUUUUAUGAUGUAUGCAUAUUGUAGGUUUCUCUCCAUCAUUUGAUCAUUGAUCACUUCUUCCCCUCUCUUUACAAUAGGUAUGCCGAUAUCAAUUAGUCUCGAACCUCAUGUUAUUUUGUGACCUUUAAAAAGGCCAUAUUGCAUGAUUUAUUUGCUUUUGCUGUGUGUGUGUUUGGAUACUGUUCUGUUGUGGUAGGUUUGGUAAUUUGUUCCCCUUUUUGGAAGUGAAAACCCAUCAAGAAAUAUUAGUCUUCUUGCUCCAGUGGAAACUGGAUAGAUCGUUGUUGCCCUGAGAGCCAUUAUAUUUAAUUUCCUAAUUUUAAUUGCUUGAGGCAAUUCCUCCAGCACUUAAAUUAAAUAUAGGGAAGGACACCUCCAGUCACUAGAGAGAGAAUGUGGUUCUGAUGUAGAGAGCAGUGGGAUCUGGGAUGCAGGAGUGGAUGGAUGGAAUAGGCAGGUGUCAUGCAGCAGCACUGUGAACAGUUUGGAGGAGGUGGGAGAGAAUAAGCAGAAAAGGGUGGGCAGAUGGAUAUCUUCAUUUGUAGAAACAGAAUACUAUUUUAAAAAUAUAAGUUUUUUCUUUUCUUAUGUAUCUGGUUUCAUGCAUUUAUUUUACUCCAAUAUCUGAAGGUUCCAAUAAAUGUAGUAGUUGAAAAAAAGUUUUCUCUCCAUUUUUUAAAUACUUGAAGUAAUCCUAGUACUUAAAAAUUGCACUUUUUAGGUCAUUUUUUAGCAGAAGGUCACUACCUCAUCUCCUCCUGGGUAAGUACAGACAUUUGAGCUCUUGUGUUAAUCUCUUUGUCCAGAUUGUAAUAGUCAUUUUCUUUCUUCAUGUAAUUCAGAUAGACUUGACAGGAGAGCAAUAUGCCUGCAGGGACUGCAGAACAAAAAUACUUAUAUAAUUUUUAAUGUUGAUGGCUCCUGUUGUUUGAGGUAUUGAUAAGUUCUGGCCUCUGUUUAUUUGGGAACUGGAGACUGUGCUUCUUGUUGACUUGGAAGAAAUUAAACACUAGACCACCAAACAGAGUAUGGCUAGGAAAGUCAGAGUUUAUUUUGUUUAAUAUAUCAAAUACCUAUCUUAGUAUAUGGUAUCUUGUUUUAAGGAUCACUUUAUUUAUGUAAGUUAUUGGAAUGAAAUAAAAUGUUACAUAGUAAGCAAAAUGCCAUGGACCAAUGCUUGAAUUCCCGUCUCAAAGCAGAACGUAUAAAUGAAAAUUACAUAAUUUAGGAAUAUAAUUUUGAUCAAACACACAAGGUUGAGUUCUUGUAUUCAACAGAUGUUGAACUUUGUUAGUGAUUUUUUUUUGUUUGUUUAGUGCAGAAAGCACCAGAUCUUGUCAUUCAAACUAAAGAAAAACUUCAGUUGAAAUAAAUAGAAGGCUGUUUCAUUUACUGGGAUUUGGACCAGAUCAAAGUAUUCCAGCUUCAGUCAGGUGCCAUACUGACUGACAGCCAAGUGUCACUGAAGUAAAAUGAAAUGCAUCCAGGCUAAUGAAAUCCUUGCCUUCUGGUUAUGACUAUGACAGCUGUAUUUCUCAGGUUAUUGACGUCAAACUAUUUUGAAUUGAGCUAAGAAGAUGAGUAAUUUAACGUAGCCUUCCAGGCCUCUAUUGAAAUAGGUAAAGGUGAAAAUAUUGCUUCCUAUUUCAUUUCUCUGAACUAUCCAAAACCUGAAAAUUUUACAUCGAUGUUCAUGAGUUAAAAUAAAUUAGACACUAAACAUACUUUAUAGAUAACUAUCCACUUUUCUAAUGUCCUAACAGGUAAGCUGUAGGCUCUUCUCUCUCUGACCAGGCAAUGAAGAAAGCCCUUCUCUAUUUCUCUUGCUCAUCCUUGCUAAUAGCUAGGCCAAAUUUGCAACUGGAGAGCUAGUGAAUGAGCCGUUGUACAUAAUUAUGGACUAUAGUAAUGGGGGAAGACAAACAGUACUAUGAUUCUGUUAGUUACAUUGUGGAAAUGUUAGAUAUGUUAUCAUCUUCAUAUGCAAUUGAAAUUUAUGUGCACUGUGCCCUUUGAAAAUACAUCAGGUUACUUCAACUGAGUAGGCUGUUAUAUGGCAGCUAUUCUGCUAUAUCUACUCACUUGUGUAUGGUUAACUAGAGACAAAUAUGAAGUAAUACAACCUAAAGUCAAUGGUUUUAAAUUAAAAUGAAUUACUUCAGACUUUUCUGAAUCAUGAACACAGAUGGACAAAAUGAACAUAUCUAACAAUGUAAGUUAGUGAGUUACUGUGAGUAAGUUUUCAAGAAAGUAAAAUUCUAAUGGCAGAAUCCUAGAGAGUUUUCUGCAGGAAUUAUGAAGUAUUGGAUUCAGCUCGUUUCCAUUAAGCCCUGCUUUUAACAUUCCCUAGUACUCAAGAGUACUAGUCAGAAUUUAGAGCACAGCGUUGAACAUGCUGAGCAAAGGAUAAGUCUUUGUAUCAUAAAGCGUAUGCAAGAAUUUCAUAGUGGAAAAUGAUAUAUCAUCUAAGACAUCCAUAUUUAAAGAACUCCCAUUUAUCUCACAUGCACCUGUCAUUAAGUGUCUAUUUCCACCUUGGAAAGAAAUGACAUGGACCUCUAUAGCUGGGUAAGAGACAGUUGUAGAAUGCAACAAAGUGUUUUUUGAGGUUUAAGUUACUUACAUGCACUUAUUCAUUCACAGUCAGCCAAAUCGGGGCUUUGCCAAUAAGUGGAAUGAAGUUUGCAAAAGAAAAUAUAUUACAGCUGAAAGAGAUUUUUCAGUGUCUACUUUCUAAAUUAAAUGAGAUUGCAAACAGAAGAUUAGAGUAGAUGUUUGAAAAUGCAGAUAUUGCUUUAGACUAUGUCAUCUAGAAAGCAUUUCUAUGAGGUUUUUAAGCAUAAAAUAUGACCAACACUUGGAAAGAUGAAUUAACAGAUAACAAAAUUCAGGACUUUCUGUGACAAACUUCUUAAGCAUGUAAUAAAAGAUACAGUAUAAUAUUCUCAUUACUGUAGAAGUACUGAUGGAGGAUUUAUUCUCUGAAAGUGUGGUAGGAUUAUAAUAGCUCCUGUUCCACGCUCUUUUCCCCAUGAGUGAAAGUUUUAGUCCAAGGGCUUUGCAGUGUGUUUCUUUGCAUUAACAAUAUAUUGUAGAUACAGUAACACCCUAGCAUAUAUUUUCCAAUUAAAUUAUUUGUAAGCAUUUCUAAGAAUUGAAUUUUCACUGUAGUUACAUGUUACUCCCUUGGCUAUGCACAGCUUUUCCAAGUCACAGAUGUUAGGUCUUUUUAUUUUAAUUUUUCACUUAUUCAGAAAUUUCAUAAGGAAGAUUUGGCAAUGAAUUCUUUUCCUUAUAAAUCCAUAAAGCUAUCUGGGAGCAUAAUUAAAGUACCCCACUUACCGGGCAUGGAUAUCAUUGUAAAAGUCAGAAUUUAGUUUGCAACUGUAGUAACUUGCC